Molecule: long non-coding RNA, 5164 nt
Organism: Rhincodon typus (whale shark)
Lineage: Eukaryota; Metazoa; Chordata; Chondrichthyes; Orectolobiformes; Rhincodontidae
Exons: 2
Source: RefSeq, a predicted model, not a curated record
CUGCUCCUCUGAUGCUGCUUGGCCUGCUGUGUUCAUCCAGCUCUACACCUUGUUAUCUCAGAUUCUCCAGUUCCUACUAUUUCUUUAUUGAUACCAGUGGAAACCACAAAGUUAUACAAUUUAUUUAUUCUAUAAUUAUCUGCCCUCUAUAUAGAAGUAGUCCAUCUCCCUAGAGUAUCACCACUGUUCAUGCAGUUCUUACCGAUUUAUUUCACAUUGAAUUGACUGGUCCUGUCGUCGGGUGUGAGUGCUCACCAUUAGAAGUGUUUGAUUUGAAUUUGGAGAUGUUUGUGAUGUUCUGUCUGAUUUUGUGGUUGGAAUGGGCUUCAGCUCCGUUUGAAAUGGGAUCCUUUUUAUUCAAUUAAAUAAAUUUCAAAGCUGUUCGCCUCACACAGCCGAUCUUUGCUGCUGCUUUUGUGUCUUUUUGAUUUUCCUUUUUAUUACCUGACGUGGGCUCAUCCAUCGCUGAACCACCGUAAAGAGCAUCUUGUUACCUUGCAUUUGUCCUGCAUCCCAACUCUUGUGCUGUGUUUAAACACAAACCUUCUUGCUCGGGUGAGAAAAGUGUACAACAGGACUUAUAGUUAGUUUGUAAUUCAAGACAAUAUUUAUUGAAGAGUUUGUUCUAGAUCUUUUGGGUUGACCUACUGCCUAAUCCCGAUGAUGUUUUCCAUCACAGCUUCUGUACCAGCCAACAGAGCUGCUGUGCCCAGUGACUGGGCACUGGGUACCUGUGGAACAAUGCUUGCCCAAGCUAGAGAUCAGCAAAUAUUCCAGGCUUUAUGAUGGCGAAGAACCAGCUGCUGAUCCUGGCUUGUCAACGGAAGGCCUUUGGUUUCUUCAGAAUUUCCGCGAGGCUCUGGGCCCCUCUGCCUCCACCUCGGUUCAGACUGAGGAAGCCAUGUUGGUAGUAUCGCAGGAAGACCUCGUCUCGACCCGCUCCUCCUCAGCUGCUGCCCACUGGGGGCGCUGUUCCUGCCUCAUCCAAUUGUUAAGCUGCUGCUGGUGUUGUACUAAUUACCACCAAGGCAAGGCAGAGAGCUGACUGCUCACACUGAGGGACUGCAAUGUGGCUGUUGCACUUGGAAAUUUAGGUGCUUUUCAACCGAGGCGCUUGGGGUCAGAGGUAGGGAGAGAGAGACACGGGAGAAAGCCGGGAAUAUCUUUUUUGCAGGUCUGGGAAUGAAAGGAGAGAGAGAAAGGGGGACCAGAAAGGGAUGAAGAUACCUUCCAACAGACACUUUAAACUAACUGUGUGCACCUAAUAAGAUGAACACAGAAAGCACAACAUUCGCACAAGUCUAAUGUUUACUCUGCUCCUCACAGUCCCUUCAUCUCUGUUUUUCUUUUCCUCCUUCAGUGCAAUCUCUCUGCAAAGCUCAUGGGAUGUUCUAGUCCAGAGUUAUAACCAUUUCGGAGUUCACAGAUGAUGAGCUUGUGCCAGUAAUGAAGCCUCUGUGGGCACAGUGUUUCCUUUCUGUGAUAGUGUGCAAAAAGAUGCAAUCAAAUGAGGGUAAGGCAGUUACACAGGAGACCUCUCGGGUGAUGAAACCCCACUGCUCUCAGGUUAUUCCAAAGAACUGUCUUGAUAUGAAAUCACUUGGUAGUUUUGUGCAUGUCUGUCAUUGUAAUGGUAAGUGUAGUUUUGUCAUCAAAUCUUCCAGUGACCAGGGUAACAACAGCCCCAGUUUGCCAUCUUGUGACGUUUAUGAAAAAUAUCUAAUUACAACUCUAGCUAGGCAGUAUCGGCCAAUAUUGUGUUGCUGAAGGAAAUUAGCUGGCAAUCUCAAACUGAAUGUGACAGCACCUGAAUGGUAUUUUGUGUUAAGCAUGAGAUUUUGGCUGGGGAACUUCUGAUUUCAGCUCAUGGAAUCCUAUCUAAUGGGAGUGAGUGGAAAAUGAUUUGGUUUUGGGAAUUCAAUGCAGUGUGUCAAAAUGGUACUUUGGGUUUCUGUACUGUGGGAUUGAAAGGAGAAUGGUUGUGAACCCUUAGAAUUCAGGGCACGGGUCUUAAUCUAGGGUUGGAUCCCUGUAACAUUGUUGAAAUGCUCACCUUUUUUGUACAAAUCCCUGGCAAAAUAUUUGUCAGAAUCUUCUAAGAAGUGAUAAUCACACUCUGAUUACUGAUCCACUCCUUCUUACUCACUCUGCUCUAGUCCUGUGCAGUUCUGGCCUAAACAUGUGAUUUGCACUGAAAUGUGGAGUUUACCUGAUCUGGGUGCAGUGCAGGGUCAGUGCUAAUGGACAGGUGAUACCACCUUUACCCAGCAGUAACUACUGCUGUAGGGUUUAAAGAUUUCUUGGUUGGUGGGUGAAGGGAUUAGGUGCCAAGUGAGUGAAUAAGGAGUUACAGUUCCUGUUUGGUGUGCCAGGUGCUGGAUGGGGAACAGAUGGGUGGCAGAUGAGUCUACCAGGGAUGAGUGAGGGGGUCAGUCUGCCAUAUGGAUGGGUGAGGCUAUAUGCCAGAGUGCCAGGUGGAUGAGGGCAACAGGUAACUGGGUGUGUGUAGGGUACCAUUUGGGUGAAUGAGGGGGUCAGGUACCAGACACAUGGGUAAGAGAAGAUAGAGUGUUAAAUGAAUGACUGUAGGAGCAAGGUAGCAGAGGCUGGGCUGAGGUUUGGAGUGGGGUUGGGGGGGAGACAUUGUCAGGCAUCAUGGUGGGGGCAGAUUGAUUUUUUUAAGGGGGAAGAGGGCUUUGGAUCCAGUGUGGAUGCAUAGGAGCCAGUUUUAUAGUUAGCCAGGAGUUGGGGCAGCAUGUUAACCCUUUACUUUUUCUGGAUGACUAUUUAAGUAAGUUGAACCCUCCAAAAUUCUGCUUCUAAUUAAAGUUGCAGCCAUUUUUUUUUUGGGAAGGUUUGAGGCACUAAUUAUCCAUCGGAAGUUUAAGCUUCUCGGAUAAUUUCCGCAUAGCCAGUGCACCGAGACUUCUGAGAGAUUCCAGCGGAAAUCCUUCAGGGUAUACCUGGUCUCUGACUAUCAGGAGACUGAAGGACUUAGACUAAUGUGUGUUCUUAAAAAUAUGACAAUAAUUGAAGUAAGUAAUCAGUGAUCAUAAUACACUCUAUCACUGCCUUUGAUAUAAGUUACCUUCUAUGCAAGAUGUCACUAUGAAUACAUACACAGCUUCUCACCUACACUACCAGAAGACCAAAGAUGUGCCUGAUGGAAAUCUGUUAUAAAUUGAACUAUAUUGUGAUCACUAGAUGUCACAAUUGCACACUUUACACCUAGUGGCCGGAAACUAAUAAUGACAGCUGAAUGUUUAUUUAUUUGAAUAAGUUCCAAACAGAAAUGCCUGUGAUUUAAAACUGACCAUGUCAGAUAGGCCAGACCAACUGCCUUCCCAAACGAUAUUCGUGAACCAGAUUUUAUAUUUUAAUGACAAUCCAGUGGUUUCAUGGUCACUGUUAAUUAGAUUUAUUCCAGAUUAUCAAAUUGUUUAAAUUCAAAUUUUGCAGCAGGUCCACUAGGGUUGGAACUCUUUUUUUUUUACAGAGCAUUAGUCACAGUCUCUGGGUUACCAGUUCAAUACAUACCAUCGUUAAACUAAUUCUGUCCUCAAUAAGAACCUUGACACUGAAAAAGGAAAGCAGAAAGAGGGAUGUCCUGUGGGAAACAGGUGUAGUUUUCUUUCUUUUAAUGUAAAAAACCUGAACUCACGAACAGAAUUUGAUGGUCUUUUUUUCCAGAAAGCCUGCCUGAGCUAUUUCUAAUAUUUCCUGCCAGCCCUUUCACACUUUUUGUAACAAUCAAGAUUGAACCUGCCUCUAGGGGGUUGUACUGUUUUGAAUAGUGGGCGACACAUCAGCGAAAAGGUGGAAUAUUGGGUUGCACCCAUGCAGUCGGUGUAAUGCUUGUCUUUUAACUUUUGACUAUUUUUGGCUUCACAAAAUUCUCCAUCUGGAAAAUUUACAAUGGUGAGGUAAUCCAUUAUUGUUUAUUCUGUAACCAAUGAGCAUCAUUACUGACUCUGGUUGAGUGGGUGUAUCUGUAAGCAGUGCCAAACUCCCCCAUCAGCCAGUCAACAGGAUUGCUUUCUGUAAUAGGGUGGGUUACUAUGGUUACUGGAAAAAAGAAAUGAUGAGUCUUAAAAUUCCUUUCAGCUGUGCGUGGAGCUGGUCACAAUUUCCCCAUGGAGUGGGGGUCCCCUUUAACUCUUUCAUUGCAAAUGCUCCUUUGUACUCCCAGUACAGAAGAUUCAAACCCAUUGGAAAAGGGUCCUGCACUUGAUCCGAAACACACUGGCGGAGGAACUAUUUCAUUUCAAGGUUUCGACCCCCGAUUGCUAACAAAUGGCUUCGGAUAAAAAGCACACCCAAAUAGGAGGUAGAUUUGAUCCAUUUGAAGAUAACAGCUUAGAAUUACUGAUUGGUAUCCAAGGACAUCAUUGUGAUAACAGUCUUCUGUGCACAACUGCUUCCUUCAAACAUUAAAUGAAAGAAUGUUUUUUAAAAACUGCAUUUAUAUAGCACCUUUUCAACGUGGUAUUACAUCCCAAGGGAGUUAACCGGAAUGUAGCCAUUGUCACUGAGCUAAACAAAGCAGGUAUGAAUACUCAUGAUCAAAACCUUGUAGAUUUUGAGGAUUAUUUUAAACGAGACAAGCAGGGAGGUGAAGAGGGUCAAGCAUCAAUAUUCUUUAAAAUAGAACAUAAUUCCAGAAAUUCUGGACUGUAAACCCAAGCUUUAGAGUUAAGUUCCUCUGCUGCACAAAAUGGGAGUCAGCUCACUUGCAGCCAAGCUGUGUAAUUCAAAUUCCACUGAUCCACAUCUCUCUGGUCACCCCUUUGUGGUUUUGAAUAAAAUAUCAGCUUCUCAAAGCUACAACCUCCUUGAGAGGGGUAAAAAAACCCAAAAUAAUAAUGCAAGUAUACUGUGAACAGCUCCAUUCACCAAGCCGCAAGGAUCUUGCUGAUGUAUGGGUUAAAUGAGUUAAUUCUUAACUUGUUGGGAAGCACCAUCUUAAAUGGGUAAGCACAAACCUAACACAGUUGCUCAUUUCAAAUGAAGCUUGAGUUGUAGACUUCAUAAAGUGCCUUUAGUGAUCUCUUUGUAGUGUUUUAUUGUCUAAUGAUUCAGACUUUUGCAAUACAUUCUUUUCUAAAUGUUACUAUUCUAGCCUUGUGUAAAAGGAAUGAAUAAAAUUGAAAGUGCCUAUAUUUUA